UAGUUACUAAUAUGAUAAAAAUUUUGAGUUUUGCAUUAGGCAAAUAUAGAGAUGCUCAGACAAAAGCGGUGAAAAUUUAUCAAGGGGACACAAAUAUUGGGGAUGAGGUAAAAAAAUUUCUAAUUUUUUUAUUAGCACCUACUUUUAUUUUUUUUGAAAUAAUUAAUUUUUUCCCACUUUAUUUGUUUUAGUUGAUGCAAGCAAACAGUUGGUACCUAAUUU
This 222-nucleotide long non-coding RNA is filed under the name Malus domestica (apple). RNAcentral's name for it is "long non-coding RNA (MDOM_LNC020605)". The record is from RNAcentral. Lineage: Eukaryota; Viridiplantae; Streptophyta; Magnoliopsida; Rosales; Rosaceae.